GACGAACGCUGGCGGCGUGCCUAAUACAUGCAAGUAGAACGCACAGUUUAUACCGUAGCUUGCUGCACCAUAGACUGUGAGUUGCGAACGGGUGAGUAACGCGUAGGUAACCUGCCUGGUAGCGGGGGAUAACUAUUGGAAACGAUAGCUAAUACCGCAUAAUAUUAAUUAUUGCAUGAUAAUUAAUUGAAAGGUGCAAUUGCACCACUACCAGAUGGACCUGCGUUGUAUUAGCUAGUAGGUGAGGUAACGGCUCACCUAGGCGACGAUACAUAGCCGACCUGAGAGGGUGAUCGGCCACACUGGGACUGAGACACGGCCCAGACUCCUACGGGAGGCAGCAGUAGGGAAUCUUCGGCAAUGGACGAAAGUCUGACCGAGCAACGCCGCGUGAGUGAAGAAGGUUUUCGGAUCGUAAAGCUCUGUUGUAAGAGAAGAACGGGUGUGAGAGUGGAAAGUUCACACUGUGACGGUAUCUUACCAGAAAGGGACGGCUAACUACGUG
This 505-nucleotide ribosomal RNA is filed under the name uncultured bacterium. Its description in RNAcentral is "partial 16S ribosomal RNA". It matches the Rfam family "Bacterial small subunit ribosomal RNA", at positions 28 to 507 of the family's 1533-position model. The record is from RNAcentral.